Molecule: ribosomal RNA, 267 nt
Filed under: uncultured Alcaligenaceae bacterium
Lineage: Bacteria; Pseudomonadati; Pseudomonadota; Betaproteobacteria; Burkholderiales; Alcaligenaceae
Description: partial 16S ribosomal RNA
Rfam family: Bacterial small subunit ribosomal RNA
Source: RNAcentral
GUCAUUAGUUGCUACGAAAGGGCGACUCUAAUGAGACUGCCGGUGACAAACCGGAGGAAGUGGGGAUGACGUCAAGUCCUCAUGGCCCUUAUGGUAGGGCUUCACACGUCAUACAAUGGUCGGGACAGAGGGUCGCCAACCCGCAGGGGGAGCCAAUCCCAGAAACCCGAUCGUAGUCCGGAUUGUAGUCUGCAACUCGACUACAUGAAGUCGGAAUCGCUAGUAAUCGCGGAUCAGCAUGUCGCGGUGAAUACGUUCCCGGGUCUU